Molecule: ribosomal RNA, 301 nt
Filed under: uncultured bacterium
Lineage: Bacteria
Description: partial 16S ribosomal RNA
Rfam family: Bacterial small subunit ribosomal RNA
Source: RNAcentral
CAGCAGCCGCGGGAAUACGUAGGUGGCAAGCGUUGUCCGGAAUUAUUGGGCGUAAAGCGCGCGCAGGUGGUUUAAUAAGUCUGAUGUGAAAGCCCACGGCUCAACCGUGGAGGGUCAUUGGAAACUGUUAAACUUGAGUGCAGGAGAGAAAAGUGGAAUUCCUAGUGUAGCGGUGAAAUGCGUAGAGAUUAGGAGGAACACCAGUGGCGAAGGCGGCUUUUUGGCCUGUAACUGACACUGAGAGACGAAAGCUAGGGGAGCAAAUGGGAUUAGAUACCCCCGUAGUCCCUGUCCUUAUACA